GGAUUACCUCAGUAACGGCGAGUGAAGCGGUAACAGCUCAAAUUUGAAAUCUGGCUCUUUCAGGGUCCGAGUUGUAAUUUGUAGAAGAUGCUUUGGGCAUUGCUCCGGUCUAAGUUCCUUGGAACAGGACGUCAUAGAGGGUGAGAAUCCCGUAUGUGACUGGUGGCAUUUGUCCGUGUAAAGCUCUUUCGACGAGUCGAGUUGUUUGGGAAUGCAGCUCAAAAUGGGUGGUAUAUUUCAUCUAAAGCUAAAUAUUGGCCAGAGACCGAUAGCGCACAAGUAGAGUGAUCGAAAGAUGAAAAGCACUUUGGAAAGAGAGUUAAACAGUACGUGAAAUUGUUGAAAGGGAAGCGCUUGCAACCAGACUUGCAGGUCGUUGAUCAUCCGGGGUUCUCCCCGGUGCACUCGGCGGCUUUCAGGCCAGCAUCGGUUUGAGUGGUGGGAUAAAGGCCUUGGGAAUGUGGCUCCUCUCGGGGAGUGUUAUAGCCCAAGGUGCAAUGCCGCCUAUUCGGACCGAGGACCGCGCUUCGGCUAGGAUGCUGGCGUAAUGGUUGUAAGCGACCCGUCUUGAAACACGGACCAAGGAGUCUAACAUCUAUGCGAGUGUUUGGGUGUCAAACCCAUACGCGUAAUUAACGUGAACGGAGGUAAGAACCCUUAAGGGUGCAUUAUCGACCGAUCCUGAUGUCUUCGGAUGGAUUUGAGUAAGAGCAUAGCUGUUGGGACCCGAAAGAUGGUGAACUAUGCCUGAAUAGGGUGAAGCCAGAGGAAACUCUGGUGGAGGCUCGCAGCGGUUCUGACGUGCAAAUCGAUCGUCAAAUUUGGGUAUAGGGGCGAAAGACUAAUCGAACAU
RNAcentral lists this ribosomal RNA (853 nucleotides) under Helotiales sp. RNAcentral's name for it is "partial large subunit ribosomal RNA". It matches the Rfam family "Eukaryotic large subunit ribosomal RNA", at positions 72 to 943 of the family's 3401-position model. The record is from RNAcentral. Lineage: Eukaryota; Fungi; Ascomycota; Leotiomycetes; Helotiales.